Molecule: long non-coding RNA, 364 nt
Organism: Gallus gallus (chicken)
Lineage: Eukaryota; Metazoa; Chordata; Aves; Galliformes; Phasianidae
Source: Ensembl
AUAUCAGAGAAAGCCAGAUGUAUGUCAGGCAAAAAACUACACGUGAUAAUAGUAAAUUACUGGGAUUUCAAACUAUCUGGUCCUGCUUCACAAGGGAAUGCAUAUGCUCACGUAAAGGGAGAAAGGUGUCUAAAGUUAGAGGAAGAAGGUGAGGGAAUGUGGUAUAAGCCAAAACAUCUACAUCAACUUAACCUUGCCACUGUGGAGCUUGAGAGCAGGUGUAUGGAGUGGAUCCCACUCCACGAAGCAUCCAUGUGUUGGGGAGCACAUCCAUUCAACCUUUCACCACGCGGACCUCAAGUCAGCAGGGAGGAGAGCAUACAGGUGCCUUUGCAGCUGAUCUAACCCAUAGGCGUGGGUUGAG